Molecule: long non-coding RNA, 1116 nt
Organism: Chenopodium quinoa (quinoa)
Lineage: Eukaryota; Viridiplantae; Streptophyta; Magnoliopsida; Caryophyllales; Amaranthaceae
Exons: 6
Source: RefSeq, a predicted model, not a curated record
UCGUACUCUCUCCUUUGUUUUCUCUCUCUUCUUAAUUUUUCCGUCUCCUCUCUUUUCUCUUUGCUCAAACCCUCCUUUCUCUCUCUACACUUGCCUCCUCUUGCUCCAUCUACCGCCGCCCCAUCUACCGCCACUCCACUCUUUCUUUCUUUCACUUCUCUCUUGGCAGCAUUACUGGGGAAUUCAGGAUUUGAGGAUGACGGCGGUGGUGAAUGUUGUCGCCACCAUCGUAAUUGACGGUCUUUUUAUUUACCGGUGCCAGAUCUUUGCAGAUGUGGUGGAAUUCUUCACAAAGUUGGGGUUAUGUUGUGAUGAGGUUGAUGAACAUGUUGUUCUCUUCACGGCGCCAAGGUGAUUAUGGUGAUGGUGGUCGCGAUCCGCCAGCCUACUCCAUCUCUCUAUCUCUUCUUGAGUCCUCUGCUUAAAUCCGAGAAUAAGAAAACGAAGGGAAAGAUGAAAGUGUGUCUCAACCGAGUUUCACUGAGUUCAAAUUGGACGAGAUAAGAGCUGCUGCUUCUGGGUUUUCUUAUUAAUUACUGUUCAUAUAUUUAAGGUUGGAAUUUGCGAGCUUCCAUUUCAUCCAAUUAGUUCGGAGGUUAUUGGAGGAGUUGGUGGAAUGAAAAGUAAUUUCCGAGACGUGUGCUUAAUAAGGACAGCUGCUGCCUCGCAGGGUGCUGCUUCUGUGUUGCUGCUGUAUCUGUGCUACCAUGUUGCUGCUGCUUCUGUCUUUUUCUUGUAAUGUAUCAAUGAUUCUUUUCCAACAGCAUAUAUAGAGUUUUUAAUUUUGCUAUGGCCAUGUGAUCAGAUAUUUCCUUAUUUAUUGUGAUUGAAGGUUGGUAGUAUAAUAACUAUGUGCACAGUCAACACGUUAUGCUAUAUCGAUGUCUCUGAUCUCUCUGUCACAUUCCUCUUUGCCUUGUCAUACUAGGUAAUGACAAGGCAAAACAUGGUUUUUAUCUUCUAAUAGGCAUAAUGGAAGUGAGUGACUCUAGGUUUCAUGGUGUAGAACUUGUUAUCACACAUAAUUUGUAGUUUUUUGAAGUUAUCCAAAGUUGCUUUCUUUGGAGUUUGCCAAGGAAAUAGCUAAAUAUAUGGCCAAAAACAUAUUCGAAUGCA